AGCUGGAACCUUUGUGUUUGCACGUUUCUGGUACACCCAUAAACCUGAUGCACAAAGAUCGUCUGCCCUCAG
Long non-coding RNA from Xiphophorus couchianus (Monterrey platyfish), 72 nucleotides. RefSeq lists it as uncharacterized. The transcript is spliced from 3 exons. NCBI's taxonomy places the organism in Eukaryota, Metazoa, Chordata, Actinopteri, Cyprinodontiformes, Poeciliidae. The record is from RefSeq and is a predicted model, not a curated record.